GUUCGGAUUGCAGUCUGCAACUCGACUGCAUGAAGUCGGAAUCGCUAGUAAUCGCGGAUCAGCAUGCCGCGGUGAAUACGUUCCCGGGCCUUGUACACACCGCCCGUCACACCAUGGGAGUAGAUUGUACCAGAAGCGGCUAGCCUAACCUUCGGGAGGGCGGUUACCACGGUAUGGUUUAUGACUGGGGUGAAGUCGUAACAAGGUAGCCGUAGGGGAACCUGCGGCUGGAUCACCUCCUUUAAAGAAAAGGGUCUAGACCCCACACACGCCACUCGGUAAGGAAUUGGGCCUAUAGCUCAGCUGGCUAGAGCACACGACUGAUAAUCGUGAGGUCAGUGGUUCGAGUCCACUUGGGCCCACCAAAUGGGGCUGUAGCUCAGUUGGGAGAGCACCUGCUUUGCAAGCAGGGGGUCACCGGUUCGAGACCGGUCAGCUCCACCACAGGGAGAGAAGGCCCGC
Molecule: ribosomal RNA, 462 nt
Filed under: uncultured bacterium
Lineage: Bacteria
Description: partial 16S ribosomal RNA
Rfam family: Bacterial small subunit ribosomal RNA (bases 1-243)
Source: RNAcentral